RNAcentral lists this ribosomal RNA (484 nucleotides) under uncultured bacterium. RNAcentral describes it as "partial 16S ribosomal RNA". It matches the Rfam family "Bacterial small subunit ribosomal RNA", at positions 31 to 507 of the family's 1533-position model. The record is from RNAcentral.
AGGGAAAGCUGGCGGCAGGCCUAACACAUGCAAGUCGAGCGGAUGAAGGGAGCUUGCUCCUGGAUUCAGCGGCGGACGGGUGAGUAAUGCCUAGGAAUCUGCCUGGUAGUGGGGGAUAACGUCCGGAAACGGGCGCUAAUACCGCAUACGUCCUGAGGGAGAAAGUGGGGGAUCUUCGGACCUCACGCUAUCAGAUGAGCCUAGGUCGGAUUAGCUAGUUGGUGGGGUAAAGGCCUACCAAGGCGACGAUCCGUAACUGGUCUGAGAGGAUGAUCAGUCACACUGGAACUGAGACACGGUCCAGACUCCUACGGGAGGCAGCAGUGGGGAAUAUUGGACAAUGGGCGAAAGCCUGAUCCAGCCAUGCCGCGUGUGUGAAGAAGGUCUUCGGAUUGUAAAGCACUUUAAGUUGGGAGGAAGGGCAGUAAGUUAAUACCCUGCUGUUUUGACGUUACCAACAGAAUAAGCACCGGCUAACUUCGUG